CUAUGGGUAAGUGAGUAACUAUGGGUGCUCCACUUUAGGUGUCUGUAUGCCCCUGCACCUCUAAUCGGAGAUUUUUGGUAGCAGUGUCCCGUUGAGCCCACACAUGUGCUCUCCCUCCCUCAUGGUCUGCCUCAAGGCUAUUUAGCACUACACGGGCAAACCCCCUUCACUUCCUUCUCUACCACCGAGCCCUAUAGAGAACUCCAAAGUAGAGGGGAGGAGGGCGGGUUAUGGAGCACCCAUAAGGACACACAUCUCGAAGAACCAUUGUUACUGCACAAAGCGAGUAACUUCCUCUUCUCCUUCGAGUAGUGUCCCUAUGGGUGCUCCACUUUAGGUGGCUCCGGAGCAGUACCCACUACUGGAAGCUGGGACUUCGGAGCGGAGACUUUUACUACAGGAGUACUGUGGAGUUGAAGAUGGUGUCAGUGGCCACAUCUUCAGUGGUCGCAUAAUGUUCUGCAAAAGUAUGGACAGAGGCCCCAAUCAUUGCUCUAUCGAUUGGGGAGAUGGGGUAGCCCUAUGGAAUGUGAUUGAGCUUGUCAGAGCAUUCUGUUUCUAAGCCUUGGAACAAAGAAAGAUCCAAGCCUGCAGGUGGAGGACCCAUCGGUUGGGGUGAAGAGUCAGUCCAUUGUUUUGAGAGAGCGGGUGAAGAAUGAGCUGACAUCAGAGGAACAGGAGGGCAUACUGCCAUCUGCGUCAGAACACUUUCACCUUUAAUCUUUUCAUGUCAGAAGAUGCUGAAGAAGGAAAGAAGAAGAAACACACUGAAGAAACAUAAGGCGCAGCAUGAGAAAUGUGUUUACUAAAAAGAGACUGGAGAGAAAAUAAAAACAUGAAAAGGAGUAGAAGACAAGACAGAGAAGGAAGAAUUUUCUGUAAUAUGUAUCAUAUAAAAUAAUGUACCCCAAAAUGCA
This is a long non-coding RNA of Chelonia mydas (Green sea turtle), 917 nucleotides long. RefSeq lists it as uncharacterized. The transcript has 3 exons. The record is from RefSeq and is a predicted model, not a curated record. Lineage: Eukaryota; Metazoa; Chordata; Testudines; Cheloniidae.